UACGGGGGGGGCAAGCGUUGUUCGGAAUUACUGGGCGUAAAGGGUGCGUAGGCGGCCAUGUAAGUAGGGUGUGAAAUCCCCCGGCUUAACCGGGGAACUGCGCCCUAAACUGUGUGGCUUGAGUGAGAUAGGGGUGUGUGGAACUUCCGGUGGAGCGGUGAAAUGUGUUGAUAUCGGAAGGAACGCCGGUGGCGAAAGCGACACACUGGGUCUCAACUGACGCUGAGGCACGAAAGCCAGGGGAGCGAACGGG
Molecule: ribosomal RNA, 253 nt
Filed under: uncultured bacterium
Lineage: Bacteria
Description: partial 16S ribosomal RNA
Rfam family: Bacterial small subunit ribosomal RNA
Source: RNAcentral